GCGUGCUUAACACAUGCAAGUCGAGUGCGCGCUUGUAGCAAUACAAGUGGCGCACGGCGCACGGGUGCGUAACACGUGGGCAAUCUGCCCUCCGAUGGGGAAUAACCCCGCGAAAGCGGGGCUAAUACCGCAUAACAUUCCUUGGACUUAGGUUUGAGGAUUCAAAACCGCAAGGUGUCGGAGGAGGAGCCCGCGCCCGAUUAGCUAGUUGGUGAGGUAACGGCUCACCAAGGCAAUGAUCGGUAGCUGGUCUGAGAGGAUGAUCAGCCACACUAGAACUGAGACACGGUCCAGACUCCUACGGGAGGCAGCAGUGGGGAAUCUUGCGCAAUGGGCGAAAGCCUGACGCAGCGACGCCGCGUGGGGGAUGAAGCAUCUCGGUGUGUAAACCCCUUUCGACUGGGACGAAUGCCCGCAAGGGAGUGACGGUACCAGUAGAAGAAGCCCCGGCUAACUACGUGCCAGCAGCCGCGGUAAGACGUAGGGGGCCAGCGUUGUUCGGAAUUACUGGGUGUAAAGGGUUCGUAAGCGGUGCGGCAAGUUGGGAGUGAAAUCUCUGGGCUCAACCCAGAGGCUGCUUCCAAAACUGCUGUGC
RNAcentral lists this ribosomal RNA (595 nucleotides) under uncultured bacterium. RNAcentral describes it as "bacterial SSU rRNA". It matches the Rfam family "Bacterial small subunit ribosomal RNA", at positions 42 to 641 of the family's 1533-position model. The record is from RNAcentral.